GAAAGAUCGGUGUUGUUGCGCAUCUUCUGUCUCAACAAUGGUAACUUCUCAAUGUGUUCGAACUCCCGCCGUCACAGUGUCACAAUGUUCAAGCCAUCGUCAUUUCCCACGUGGAUGAUUCCUGCCUGGCAUUUGUGUGUGUGUCGUCCUGUGCGCCGCAUGGACCAUGACCUUAAUCAAAUUCUCAAAGGUAUCUGUGAUUAAAAAGGACCAGACUCAUUUUAGCCUGAGACACAUCGAGAUUGGGAACACAAGCAGGAGGAGUGGGAGAGGGAGAAGCAGGCCUCCCACCGAGCAGGAAGCCCCAUGGGGGACUCCAUCCCAGGAUUCCAGAACCAUGACCCGACCAGAAGUCAGAUGCCCAAAGACUGAGCCACCCAUGUGCCACUGCAAUCUCUUUUUAAAAAAAUAUUUUACAUAGAUUUUCAUUGCUGUUAAUAUUUAUAGCUAAGGAAUUCUGUGGCAGGAAUGCACUAAAUUUUUAAAAUCAUUUCACUAUUGUAUGAGGUCAAGUGCUUUCCAAAUUUUCCCUAUUAAAUAAUAAAUGUAGACAUAGUUUAAAUUUUAAAAAUACAACCAAUGUUCUCCAUACAGGUUGCACAGUUUUGAACUACCAACGGUGUAUGAGAGCAUCCUAUUCCCUAAACCCUUGCUAACAAGAAAUGUUAAUCAAUAUUUUGCACUUUUGCCAA
Lontra canadensis (Northern American river otter) is the source of this 692-nucleotide long non-coding RNA. RefSeq lists it as uncharacterized. The transcript is spliced from 3 exons. The record is from RefSeq and is a predicted model, not a curated record. Lineage: Eukaryota; Metazoa; Chordata; Mammalia; Carnivora; Mustelidae.